Molecule: ribosomal RNA, 422 nt
Filed under: uncultured Flavitalea sp.
Lineage: Bacteria; Pseudomonadati; Bacteroidota; Chitinophagia; Chitinophagales; Chitinophagaceae
Description: bacterial SSU rRNA
Rfam family: Bacterial small subunit ribosomal RNA
Source: RNAcentral
UAAGGAAUAUUGGUCAAUGGACGCAAGUCUGAACCAGCCAUGCCGCGUGGAGGAUGAAGGUCCUCUGGAUUGUAAACUUCUUUUAUCUGGGAAGAAAUCCAUAUUUUCUAAUGUGGUUGACGGUACCAGAUGAAUAAGCACCGGCUAACUCCGUGCCAGCAGCCGCGGUAAUACGGAGGGUGCAAGCGUUAUCCGGAUUCACUGGGUUUAAAGGGUGCGUAGGCGGGUUGAUAAGUCCGUGGUGAAAUCUCCGAGCUUAACUCGGAAACUGCCGUGGAUACUAUUGAUCUUGAAUAUCGUGGAGGUAAGCGGAAUAUGUCAUGUAGCGGUGAAAUGCUUAGAUAUGACAUAGAACACCAAUUGCGUAGGCAGCUUACUACACGAUCAUUGACGCUGAGGCACGAAAGCGUGGGGAGCAAACA